GAAGGUCACCACGCGUGAGUGCUAGUCUUGCACGUGAACUGCCACACUACUGCUGGCCUUGAUCUCAAAUGCAAGCGCUGAAUGGACGCCGACCUCGAGCGUGUACUUGUGCCUCCGCGGUGAAGGGUGGGAGAUUCGACAUGAAUUUAUGUGCGUAGAUGGACUUUCUAUCGGUACACAACUUGAGAGUUUCUAGUGCUAUGUGUGUGUGUGUGGGUGUGGGUGGUUGGGUUUUUUAUUUUUAUUUUUGUGUUUUUCUGUUCGUAGGGGAUGAUUCUGCAAACGCUUCAGUUGUGAAAGUUCAGGUCAUUGAUCCGAAUGUUCUGAGAAUCAAUGAAAGGUGGCUCUUCACCUCUCCUUCGAGUUUCUACUACCUCGCAGUAAUAAUUCAUGCAAGCUUUACAUUCGGAACAUUAAAUUUGUUUUGCUAUUCUUUCCUCUUCGAUGUGACGACUCGCUGUCGCUUCCGGAUUGGUCUUCUUUCCCACCAUUCUUUUUAUAAAAAGCUGACAAGUUGAACUGUAAUAUCUAAUGGAAAGAGCAACACUCUGUGCAAAAGAAUUAGGUUGAGCCGAAUACAGGAACGACACUUGGAUUGAGUUUUCUUUCUAGAAGAGUCGUUUCUGCGCAGGCCAAUUUCGCCCGAGCACAAACAGUGAUCAUGCAAUCCAUCCUCUGACACCACCCAUCAUUUUCAAACGAGCAAAUCACAGGGCAAUAGCUGAAGGGAUCCCUGAAGCUAAAAGAUGUCUUCACAUGGCUGCC
RNAcentral lists this long non-coding RNA (765 nucleotides) under Physcomitrium patens. RNAcentral describes it as "long non-coding RNA (PPAT_LNC002039)". The record is from RNAcentral. Lineage: Eukaryota; Viridiplantae; Streptophyta; Bryopsida; Funariales; Funariaceae.